GAUGAACGCUGGCGGCGUGCCUAAUACAUGCAAGUCGAGCGAACAGACGAGGAGUUUGCUCCCCUGACGUUAGCGGCGGACGGGUGAGUAACACGUGGAUAACCUACCUAUAAGACUGGGAUAACUUCGGGAAACCGGAGCUAAUACCGGAUAAUAUAUUGAACUGCAUGGUUCAAUAGUGAAAGACGGUUUUGCUGUCACUUAUAGACGGACCCGCGCCGCAUUAGUUAGUUGGCAAGGUAACGGCUCACCAAGGCAACGAUGCGUAGCCGACCUGAGAGAGUGAUCAGCCACACUGGAACUGAGACGCAAAACAGACUCCAACAGGUGGCCGCGGUAGGGAAUCUUACGGGAUGGGCGAAAGGGUGACGGAGCAACGCCGCCUAAGGGAUGAAGGUCUAAGGAUCGGAAAGCUAUGAUGUGAGGAAAGAACAAAUGUAUAAGUAACUAAGCACGUCUUGACGGUACCGAAACAAAAAGCAACGGAUAACUACGUG
Molecule: ribosomal RNA, 497 nt
Filed under: uncultured bacterium
Lineage: Bacteria
Description: partial 16S ribosomal RNA
Rfam family: Bacterial small subunit ribosomal RNA
Source: RNAcentral